Molecule: ribosomal RNA, 441 nt
Filed under: uncultured bacterium
Lineage: Bacteria
Description: partial 16S ribosomal RNA
Rfam family: Bacterial small subunit ribosomal RNA
Source: RNAcentral
CCUACGGGAGGCAGCAGUGGGGAAUAUUGCACAAUGGGGGAAACCCUGAUGCAGCGACGCCGCGUGAGUGAAGAAGUAUUUCGGUAUGUAAAGCUCUAUCAGCAGGGAAGAAGCAAGACGGUACCUGACUAAGAAGCCCCGGCUAACUACGUGCCAACAGCCGCGGUAAUACGUAGGGGGCAAGCGUUAUCCGGAUUUACUGGGUGUAAAGGGAGCGUAGACGGUAUGGCAAGUCUGAAGUGAAAGCCCAGGGCUUAACCCUGGGACUGCUUUGGAAACUGUUAGACUGGAGUGCUGGAGAGGUAAGUGGAAUUCCUAGUGUAGCGGUGAAAUGCGUAGAUAUUAGGAGGAACACCAGUGGCGAAGGCGGCUUACUGGACAGUAACUGACGUUGAGGCUCGAAAGCGUGGGGAGCAAACAGGAUUAGAUACCCGAGUAGUC